This 88-nucleotide transfer RNA is filed under the name Planctomycetota bacterium. RNAcentral describes it as "Planctomycetes bacterium tRNA-Leu". It matches the Rfam family "tRNA". From Rfam's summary of the family: Transfer RNA (tRNA) molecules are approximately 80 nucleotides in length. Their secondary structure includes four short double-helical elements and three loops (D, anti-codon, and T loops). Lineage: Bacteria; Pseudomonadati; Planctomycetota. The record is from RNAcentral.
GCCGGAGUGGCGGAAUUGGCAGACGCGGCGGAUUCAAAAUCCGCUGAGGGUAAACCUCUUGUGGGUUCAAGUCCCACCUCCGGUAUCA